This 480-nucleotide ribosomal RNA is filed under the name uncultured bacterium. RNAcentral describes it as "partial 16S ribosomal RNA". It matches the Rfam family "Bacterial small subunit ribosomal RNA", at positions 28 to 506 of the family's 1533-position model. The record is from RNAcentral.
GAUGAACGCUGGCGGCGUGCUUAACACAUGCAAGUCGAACGAAGCAUUUGCGACAGAUUUUUUCGGAAUGAAGUUGCUUAUGACUGAGUGGCGGACGGGUGAGUAACGCGUGGGUAACCUGCCUUGUACUGGGGGAUAGCAGCUGGAAACGGCUGGUAAUACCGCAUAAGCGCACAAUGUUGCAUGACAUGGUGUGAAAAACUCCGGUGGUAUAAGAUGGACCCGCGUCUGAUUAGCUAGUUGGUGAGAUAACAGCCCACCAAGGCGACGAUCAGUAGCCGACCUGAGAGGGUGACCGGCCACAUUGGGACUGAGACACGGCCCAGACUCCUACGGGAGGCAGCAGUGGGGAAUAUUGCACAAUGGAGGAAACUCUGAUGCAGCGACGCCGCGUGAGUGAAGAAGUAAUUCGUUAUGUAAAGCUCUAUCAGCAGGGAAGAUAGGGACGGUACCUGACUAAGAAGCUCCGGCUAAAUACGG